GAUGAACGCUAGCGGCAGGCUUAACACAUGCAAGUCGAGGGGUAUUGGUUUUCGGACCAAGAGACCGGCGCACGGGUGCGUAACGCGUAUGCAAUCUACCUUUCACAGAGGGAUAGUCCAGAGAAAUUUGGAUUAAUACCUCAUAGUAUAGCAGUUUCGCAUGAAACCACUAUUAAAGUCACAACGGUGAAAGAUGAGCAUGCGUCCCAUUAGCUAGUUGGUAAGGUAACGGCUUACCAAGGCUACGAUGGUAGGGGUCCUGAGAGGAGAUCCCCANACUGGUACUGAGACACGGACCAGAUCCUACGGGAGGCAGCAGUGA
RNAcentral lists this ribosomal RNA (322 nucleotides) under uncultured bacterium. Its description in RNAcentral is "bacterial SSU rRNA". It matches the Rfam family "Bacterial small subunit ribosomal RNA", at positions 28 to 357 of the family's 1533-position model. The record is from RNAcentral.